This is a long non-coding RNA of Heterocephalus glaber (naked mole-rat), 1439 nucleotides long. NCBI's taxonomy places the organism in Eukaryota, Metazoa, Chordata, Mammalia, Rodentia, Bathyergidae. The record is from Ensembl.
AGCUGAUGCAUUCCAGGCAUUGCUGGGAUGCAUUCCGCUUCCCCUCUUUCCCUCCAGCCCCUGGGCUGAGCCAUAUAUAUAGCCAGCCUCCCAGUGUGCACUCCUCAAACUCUUGUCCUCUCUCCCAGAGCCUGCCCAGGACUGCGUUUGCCAGGACCACCAGCCACUCCUGAUUCUGGCUCAGAUGAGGACCUGCUACCCUGCUAAGAUGGCUUUCCAGCUUUCCUUCUAUUGAAAACUGCGCAAAACUCUUCAAACUCUGUGCCCUGAGGAAACAGAGCAAAGUUUUGUAACUAAUGCUUCAUCUGGUGAUAAUUGAAAGUGAUGGCUGGGGGGCUAAUUCAUGCCAUUUGAGAUGCCAGGGCACCAUAUCCAAGGUAUAAAAAAUGGGAGAAGAAACAAUAACAUCAAAAGAAAUUGAAAGUUUACAUCUAAGAUUCAGCAAGGAAUAGAGGAGGAGUACUGAUCAGAAAGAACUGCAUAGCUGUGUGGCCAAGAGUUUGGCUUCCCAGAGGACAGACUCUGGCCUACCAGGCUAGAACUUUCUGUGAGACCUUGUGCUAAUGGUUUAACUUACAGAACCUCAGUCUACUCACCUGUAGCUGGGUGCCCGCCUACAUGUUAGCAUUGUCAGCAUUAAGUUGACCAAUGAGGAUUUUGCCAGCAGAAGAAUGGCUUCUCUAGUCGCCUUAAUUUUUGUUUUGACAAAACUUUGCUAUCGUUCAAAAUGGGCCUCGAGACCUGUAUAAAUGGAUGCGGUCAGAAACAGAUUCCCAAUUCUAAGUGGCCAAUGAAAAGGAAUAAAAGAAAUAUGAGCUAUGCCUAUGGGAAUCUACAUGUUAGCACUUGGAAAAUGACUACAGUGAAUAUCACAUAAAAACACAAUUUACAAAAGAUAAUUAUGGAGUCCACAUGAAACUCUUACAUAUGAAUCUUCUCCCUGAAUAAUCAAAGAUAAGUACCUUACUUACAGCUGUAAUCUAAAAUAGGAUUUUCAUAGUAGAAACUAGGUUACACCAACAUUGGUGCAUUAUACUGUUUUAAAUAAAUGUAUAAUUUAUUUUCAACUUAUCAGGUCUCUUACAUUAUAAACUUUACUGGAAAUCUAACACAGGCAGGAUAGUAAUGAUUCUUAGUGUUGGAAGAACUUUCAUAUGUUAGAAGAAAGAAGGUGGUAGGCCAUGUGUCAGGGUGAUAUUUUAAAUUCUAUUUUUAAAGGCUGGCCCAAAACUGUGUGAGAAGGGAGCAAUGGGGGACAUUUGAGAAAGGGAAUGAAAACUGGAAUACUUUCUACAAAACUGGAAUACAUUCUCCAAAGUAUUAUUCCUUUACUCUUAGUAUCCCAAGACUCUGGCUUCUUCUACCAGUAGAUUUGGUGUAUCAGUGAGGGAUGCAUUUGGCUACAAGUAACAGAAAACUCCAAAAGCAAUGUCUUCAAC